GAUGAACGCUGGCGGCGUGCCUAAUACAUGCCAGUCGAGCGAACAGACGAGGAGCUUGCUCCUCUGACGUUAGCGGCGGACGGGUGAGUAACACGUGGAUAACCUACCUAUAAGACUGGGAUAACUUCGGGAAACCGGAGCUAAUACCGGAUAAUAUAUUGAACCGCAUGGUUCAAUAGUGAAAGACGGUUUUGCUGUCACUUAUAGAUGGAUCCGCGCCGCAUUAGCUAGUUGGUAAGGUAACGGCUUACCAAGGCAACGAUGCGUAGCCAACCUGAGAGGGUGAUCGGCCACACUGGAACUGAGACACGGUCCAGACUCCUACGGGAGGCAGCAGUAGGGAAUCUUCCGCAAUGGGCGAAAGCCUGACGGAGCAACGCCGCGUGAGUGAUGAAGGUCUUCGGAUCGUAAAACUCUGUUAUUAGGGAAGAACAAAUGUGUAAGUAACUAUGCACGUCUUGACGGUACCUAAUCAGAAAGCCACGGCUAACUACGUG
This 497-nucleotide ribosomal RNA is filed under the name uncultured bacterium. RNAcentral's name for it is "partial 16S ribosomal RNA". It matches the Rfam family "Bacterial small subunit ribosomal RNA", at positions 28 to 507 of the family's 1533-position model. The record is from RNAcentral.